RNAcentral lists this ribosomal RNA (1146 nucleotides) under Streptomyces sp. Amel2xB2. RNAcentral's name for it is "bacterial LSU rRNA". It matches the Rfam family "Bacterial large subunit ribosomal RNA", at positions 349 to 1464 of the family's 2925-position model. Lineage: Bacteria; Bacillati; Actinomycetota; Actinomycetes; Kitasatosporales; Streptomycetaceae. The record is from RNAcentral.
GGCCCGGCGUAGAGGGUAAGACCCCCGUAGCUGAAAUUGUGGUGGCUCACUUGUUCUGUUUCCCGAGUAGCAUGGGGCCCGUGAAAUCCUGUGUGAAUCCGGCGGGACCACCCGUCAAGCCUAAAUAUUCCCUGGUGACCGAUAGCGGAUAGUACCGUGAGGGAAUGGUGAAAAGUACCGCGGGAGCGGAGUGAAAGAGUACCUGAAACCGUGUGCCUACAAGCCGUGGGAGCGUCGCCGUAUGUGCUUGCACAUGCGGUCGUGACUGCGUGCCUUUUGAAGAAUGAGCCUGCGAGUUUGCGGCAUGUUGCGAGGUUAACCCGUGUGGGGGAGCCGUAGCGAAAGCGAGUCCGAAGAGGGCGUGGAGUAGCGUGUUCAAGACCCGAAGCGGAGUGAUCUAGCCAUGGGCAGGGUGAAGCGGAGGUAAGACUUCGUGGAGGCCCGAACCCACCAGGGUUGAAAACCUGGGGGAUGACCUGUGGUUAGGGGUGAAAGGCCAAUCAAACUCCGUGAUAGCUGGUUCUCCCCGAAAUGCAUUUAGGUGCAGCGUCGUGUGUUUCUUGCCGGAGGUAGAGCACUGGAUAGGCGAUGGGCCCUACCGGGUUACUGACCUUAGCCAAACUCCGAAUGCCGGUAAGUGAGAGCGCGGCAGUGAGACUGUGGGGGAUAAGCUCCAUGGUCGAGAGGGAAACAGCCCAGAGCAUCGACUAAGGCCCCUAAGCGUGUGCUAAGUGGGAAAGGAUGUGGAGUCGCAGAGACAACCAGGAGGUUGGCUUAGAAGCAGCCAUCCUUGAAAGAGUGCGUAAUAGCUCACUGGUCAAGUGAUUCCGCGCCGACAAUGUAGCGGGGCUCAAGCACACCGCCGACGUCGUGUCACUCCAAUGUGAGGGCUAACGCCUAUUGGGGUGGGUAGGGGAGCGUCGUGUGCCGGGUGAAGCAGCCGUGGAAGCGAGUUGUGGACGGUAUGCGAGUGAGAAUGCAGGCAUGAGUAGCGAUACAUACGUGAGAAACGUGUGCGCCGAUUGACUAAGGGUUCCUGGGUCAAGCUGAUCUGCCCAGGGUAAGUCGGGUCCUAAGGCGAGGCCGACAGGCGUAGUCGAUGGAUAACCGGUUGAUAUUCCGGUACCCGUGGCAGUGCGCCAGCGC